ACUUGUCCUUGUGAGUUUCUGACAUGGUCCUCCUCUGUCUCUUCCUUGCCAGCUUGGCUGCCACCCCUCGGGCUGGGGUCACUGGGGCAUGGCCCACCAGCGGCCUCUCCAUUCUGGCCCAGCUCCAGCUGUCCUGUGAGCUCAGGUGGACUCAGCUUUCCAGGUCAUCCUGGAGGGAUCUGGUCAUGACCACAUCACUCUGGAUUCUGGUUCAUUUCCAGCAUUUUUCCCAGGAGACUACAACUCAGAAGCAGCUGGAUGAGAUGGGAGAGAUCCCCAGAGACAGCCAGGGUGGGAGACAGGACUUCCAUGCCCUCUCCUGUCCCACCGCCCCCCCCAGGAGACAGAGUCUUGCUCUGUUGUCCAGGCUGGAGAGCAAUGGUGCCAUCAUAGCUCACUGCAGCCUUGACCUCCUGGGCUCAAGUGAUCCUCCCACCUCAGCCUCCUGAGUAGCUGGGACUACAGGUGUGCACAACCACAGCCGGCCAAUUAUUUAUUUAUUGUCCAUCUCUCUAGUGAAAUGGUCCUGAAAGUUAGGUAUCAUGUUUUGUUUAACUCUUUAUCCUUAUCCUUAAUGCUGGGCACUGUUUUAUUUGACUCAAUAAAGACUUCUUGUAUGACUGAAUAAACCAGUGAGGGAAAAGGGGGGUGUCAGGAUGGGGAGAUCCUGACAUUGAGCUUUUGCCUGAACCUUGAAGGUGUUUGUUCAGAUUGGUGCCUGGGAAUAGAAGUGAUGCCCAGCUUUCUGCCAGAUGUAGAUCUUAGACUCCCACAGAGGGGACCGUCUGUAUCAAGGUCUCCAGGUGGUCCAGAGGACAGCAUUGUGUAUAAAAAAGCCCAGUGACCCCAAUGACAACAACUCUGUGAGCCUCUGGGCUUUCCUGUUGCGAUCAACAGAGGGGAAACUGUGACCUUUUUUUGUUUUGACAUGUAAUCAGCUCGUAGUAUAAUGCUGUGAAAAGAGAUGAGUUUAGGCUCAAGCAACAAAUAAACCUCAUUUGAAUUCUGACUCAACAAGCUAAUAGCUUGUAAAAUCAGGCUAAUUAUUUAACCUCUCUGAGCCUAUUUUAUAGGGCUGUUGUGAGGAUUAAAUGAAUAAUCCAUGUUAAAUGCUCUGCUCAGUGUUUGGUACCCAGAAAGAGCUGCCUAAUUAUUGCUGUUGUUGUUGCUGUUAAUAUUAUUAGUUGUCCCAGCUCUCUAAUAAUAAAUGAUUUGAGUAGGCUGCUUCCUUUCGCUGUAAGAUUAUCAUCUUUUUGGGGACAAGAUGACCUCUGCAGUCUCUCCAGCUCUAGGAUUCAGUGAUCAGGGGACUUUUAGAUCUCUCCCAUGCUGGAACUCUUUGAAGCAUUUCCAUGGGAAAGGAAAGAAUCACUUCUCUUUGCAGCCAUCUUCAAAUGGAUUGUCCUGGAAGAUAAGCAAAGAUGACACAUGUAGGAGAGGAAAGUCCAGUUCAAUCUGGCUCAGACCCUCCUGGAAUCUGGUACUUUUGGGUGGGACAGCAGACAGAUGUUCCAUGACAGCCAACAUCGUGUACUUCAGACUUUCUGGGAAUGAUGGCAGGAGAGGAACCAGAAGAGCAGGAUGACUUGAAUUUAUUUUCUUGGAAAGACUAUUUUGUUGGCAAGACUCAUCCCUGGCCUCAUAAAUGGACUGGAGGCUAAUGGACCAGGAAGAACUGCUCUAGAGCCGCUCCCUCCCUGCUGGUCAGGUCCAAGAACAUUGCCUCCAAGAGCAUGGACCCUGGCCCCAAUCCACACUUGCCUUCCCCUGAGGUCGCAGGCUGCCUUUCUGACCCUUUGAUGAUCUGUCUUUAAUCUGAUACAUGUGUAAUUUGAAUCCAUUUAGAUGAAAUUGUAGAGGAGGAAAAGAAGAGAAUGCAGAAAGGAACAAUGAUGCUAAGUAGCAUGGGCAAAGAACAGAGGCGUCUUGUGCAAUAGAUAGGCCUCUAUCCAACUGAGUGACAGAAACUCUAAAUUACUGUAGUUUAAUCAAAGUUAAAAUUUAUUGGUAUCUCACAUUAAAUUGUAGGGAGGCAGACGAGAGUUCUAACUGUGACUCUGCAAUCAUUAGUGACCGCCCUUGUUCUAUACCACUCCUCUGCCAUCUUCAAUAUUUCUAUUUUGUGGUCCAAGACAGUGGCUCCAAUUUUUGUCAUUACAUCUGCAUUCUAGCCAGCUGGAAAAAGAAAGAAAAGGGGAGGGGAAGGGCACAUACCUUCUCUUUAAGGACACUUCCCAGAAAUUGGACACAUUGCUUCAACUUAUAUCCCACUGGCCAGUACUUAGUCACAUGGCUACAUCCAGCUGUAGAGACACUGGAAAACAUGUCUUUAUUCCAAGUGGCUGUGUGGUCAGCUACUUUUUAUAUGGUUCUAUUAUUUUUUUAAAAAGCAAGAACAGGUAUCAGAAGACAAUUAGCAAUCUCUGCCUCCCUUGGAGACAAGAGUGGAUAUUACAGAUUGAUGUCAUAAAAAUUGCCACAGUCAGCCUUGGGUGUAAUCUCUAGAUCCAGGCAGCAAGAACCAAUUGGAAUCUUAUUCUGACCAGAUGCUAGCUGGGCAAUGCUGGGCACAUUGCUUAAUCUCCCUGAACUUCAGUUUUCUUUUCUGUAAAUAAUAGUAAUAACAAUGACUUCCAAGAAUUGUAAACAGAAUGAAAUGAGGGAUGUGUGUAGAGUGCUUCGUGCCCUUUUUGUAUGUAGACAUGGGCCAGCAGUAAAUAUUGAGGAUAACUCUAUUUGUUUUGGAUGCACAGCCUCCCUGAGGAUGCUCUUUUCCUCGGGAUUUCUAGUAUCAUCAUUCUUGUGACUAUUACCCACACCCUUCAGAAAAGCCAUCAUUUUCUCCUAGAUUGAUCUCUUUCUUGAAUUUUGAAUUCCCCUAAAAGCCAAAACCUCCAUUCUGUCAGGGCAGAACAGAGCCCUGAUGUUUCUAAAGAAAUAACUUACAGCCAGAAAGUAUCAGUAAAUUCCCUUUUCCAUGUUGCUUCAUUCUCUCAAGCAUGCAUGAAAUUUAGCCUUAAUAAGUGGUUAUUGUCCACUUACUAAUGACUGCUUAUGAAAACCAUGCCUGGGGCCUGCGGUACGGGCAUACAGCCCCAAGAACAGCUCCAACCUCCCCUUCACCUUCUCCUCCACCUGCUACCUAACAGCCAAAGUCUGUGCUUCUCCAAGAGGACUGUAGGAACCGUUAUCAUUGCAGAAAAGGAGCCUGUCUAGGCUGCUUCUCCCAACUCCAUCCCAGUAAUGAACUUGACCCUAAGAUGCAAGGUGUAUAAUCGUUUGAACCCGCUUGAACCCGCUUGAACAUAUCUGCUGGACUGAUGUCUUCUGCAGGCUGCAGAUCCUGCUCAUGGGCUGCAUGUGCUGCCGGAUGGAGGCAGGGUCAUGCCCUGAGUGUUUUCUUCAUAUGGCUCCAGUAGUGUUGUGUGUGAUUUCUGAUAAAAUUGAAGAAUAGCUAAUGAUAUUUGACAUUUGUUCAGAGUUUCGCAGUUCACAAAACAUUUUCAUAUGUCAGUAAAAAUAGCAAGGAUAAUACUAACCAUGU
Molecule: long non-coding RNA, 3544 nt
Filed under: Pongo abelii (Sumatran orangutan)
Lineage: Eukaryota; Metazoa; Chordata; Mammalia; Primates; Hominidae
Description: lincRNA
Source: RNAcentral